This 64-nucleotide transfer RNA is filed under the name Derotettix mendosensis. Its description in RNAcentral is "tRNA-Phe". Lineage: Eukaryota; Metazoa; Arthropoda; Insecta; Hemiptera; Cicadidae. The record is from RNAcentral.
AUUUGUAUAGCUUAAUAAGAGAGCAUAAUAUUGAAGAUAUUAAGGUAAUAAUAAUUUACAAAUA